Fukomys damarensis (Damara mole-rat) is the source of this 431-nucleotide long non-coding RNA. RefSeq lists it as uncharacterized. Lineage: Eukaryota; Metazoa; Chordata; Mammalia; Rodentia; Bathyergidae. The record is from RefSeq and is a predicted model, not a curated record. The transcript has 3 exons.
UUUAAUUUGCCUCCUCCUGUUGUGAAGACCCUUAGCAACAGGUAGAGCUGGGCCUUCCCACUUUAAUGCAUUCAGCUGAAAAGACAAGGGGAAACUCUGAAAUUGAGUGCCCUGAGCAUUUAAACAUUUCAACUCCCUGGAUGGAAAGUGAUGGAAUUCAUCACUAUCAUCAUCAACAGUGAUCAUCAUUUCUUGUGGAUUAAUGAGCAACAUCUGGAUGGGAUUCCUGGCAUAAGACUGUUGGACAGAUGAGCAACAGAGUACCCCUGAUGAAGAACAGCUGGCCUGGUCGAGAUGAACCACAAGCCAGCAGCCAGCAGCAGCAGCAAUUGUUCCCAGCUUGUGACACAGCUGUGGGUCACUGGAUCCUGAGCUCUCCUCUGGUCUACAUCCCCACGGGGUUUCCCUACAGAGCCCACCAUACCUGCCAC